Molecule: small nuclear RNA, 107 nt
Organism: Dromiciops gliroides (monito del monte)
Lineage: Eukaryota; Metazoa; Chordata; Mammalia; Microbiotheria; Microbiotheriidae
Source: RefSeq, a predicted model, not a curated record
GUGCUUGUUUUGGCAACACAUAUACUAAAAUUAGAACAAUACAAAGAAAAUUAUCAUGGUCCCUGUCCUAGGAUGACACACAAAUUCAUGAAGCAUUCCAUAUUUUU